RNAcentral lists this ribosomal RNA (253 nucleotides) under uncultured bacterium. Its description in RNAcentral is "partial 16S ribosomal RNA". It matches the Rfam family "Bacterial small subunit ribosomal RNA", at positions 524 to 776 of the family's 1533-position model. The record is from RNAcentral.
GACGAACCGAGCGAACGUUGUUCGGAAUCACUGGGCUUAAAGGGCGCGUAGGCGGCUUCUUAAGUCCUGGGUGAAAUCCUCCAGCUCAACUGGAGAACUGCCUCGGAUACUGGGUGUCUCGAGUGUGGUAGGGGUAUGCGGAACUAUCGGUGGAGCGGUGAAAUGCGUUGAUAUCGAUAGGAACUCCGGUGGCGAAGGCGGCAUACUGGACCACUACUGACGCUGAUGCGCGAAAGCCAGGGGAGCAAACGGG